Molecule: ribosomal RNA, 431 nt
Filed under: uncultured bacterium
Lineage: Bacteria
Description: partial 16S ribosomal RNA
Rfam family: Bacterial small subunit ribosomal RNA
Source: RNAcentral
AACGAACGCUGGCGGCUGGCUUAACACAUGCAAGUCGAACGCCCCGCAAGGGGAGUGGCAGACGGGUGAGUAACGCGUGGGAAUCUACCCAUCCCUACGGAAUAACGCAUGGAAACGUGUGCUAAUACCGUAUACGCCCUACGGGGGAAAGAUUUAUCGGGGAUGGAUGAGCCCGCGUUGGAUUAGCUAGUUGGUGGGGUAAAGGCCUACCAAGGCGACGAUCCAUAGCUGGUCUGAGAGGAUGAUCAGCCACAUUGGGACUGAGACACGGCCCAAACUCCUACGGGAGGCAGCAGUGGGGAAUAUUGGACAAUGGGCGCAAGCCUGAUCCAGCCAUGCCGCGUGAGUGAUGAAGGCCUUAGGGUUGUAAAGCUCUUUCACCGGAGAAGAUAAUGACGGUAUCCGGAGAAGAAGCCCCGGCUAACUUCGUG